AUGGGGAGUCAACUGCUGCCGGCGGCGGCGGCGAAAGCCCCGUCGACCCCGUCCACCACCACCACUAGCACCACCACCGCCGCCAACGGAAGCACCACCACCACAACCAAAACCACCUCCACCUCCACCUCCGCCGAUGGCACCCCUACCAUCACAACCACCAGCACCACCACCACAACAACAACCACAACCACGGUCACUGCCGCCGCCGCCGCCACCACCACCAUAUCGUCCCUCAGCGAAGACGACCUCCGCGAGAUCUUCCUCCGCCUCCCGAACCUCCGGGCCCUCAUCCGCGCCGCGCUCACCUGCCGCGCAUGGCUCGGCGCCGUCCGCGCCUCCCGGCCCUUCCGCCGCCUGUUCCGCGCCCUCCACCCGGCGCCGCUCCUCGGGCUCUUCAUCCCAAUCGACGGCAGCGCCAACCCCUCCUUCGCCCCGCUGCGCCGCCGCUCAGAUCCCGACGUCACCGCCGCCCUCCGUGGCGGCGACUUCUUCCUCACCUCCCUCCCGCUCGAGGCCGACCCAUCCAAGGGCUGGAGCCUCAUGGACUGCCGCGACGGCUACCUCCUCCUAUGGAACAUGCUCUCCCUCGCCGCCGUGAACCCCUUAACCUGGGCCGUCGACAUCAUCCCGAUGCCCGGCGACGAUGUGCAGGCCGGGAGUCGGCGCCAUUUCUCCUUCCUUGGUUUCCAUCUGCUGUGCUCCGACGAGCACCCGUCGUCGUUCCGCGUGGUCUGUGUCUGCUCGGACCCGCAAAGGAUCCGUGCCGCCGUCUUCUCGUCGGAGACGUGGGAUUGGGUCGUCCACCCGUGGGUGCACGUCGGCGGUAACCGCAGCCUGAAGUUCAAUGCUGGUACGCUGGCGAAUGGUUCCAUUUACUGGCCUGUCGACGGUGAACCCCGCACGAUUAGGAUAAACACGGCCACCAUGGAUGUCUCCUCUGUGGAUCUACCCUCUCAAGUGAAGGUGCACGGAUUCAGUUUCAGUGCCGGGGACACCAAGGAUGGCCAACUAUGCAUCGUCUAUGAAUCGGAUUUCUUCCUUCAUGUUUGGAUCCGUGGCGUGGACGGUGAUGGAAUCGAGGUUUGGGUUCCGGACACUGUAAUCGAUUUGAGUGCAGAAAUUGAUCGGGUCACUCAUGGGUUCGCUCUCGACUUGCAUGGCGACCUCAAGGUUAUGGAAGUUAGGUCUGGAUACAUCUACUUGUCCACGACAUGCUUGACCCCUGCUGGCACGCUCCACUGCUGGUUCUUCUCCCUUUCCUUGGAGACCUUGGUGCUUGAGUUACUUGUCUCGGGGAAAUUCGACGGUUGUGCCCAUCUGUAUAGUAUGGCCUGGCCUCCUUCUUUGGUUGGUGAUGAUGGGACUCAUGAAAUCGAAGGUUUUAACUGA
RNAcentral lists this ribosomal RNA (1392 nucleotides) under Triticum aestivum (bread wheat). RNAcentral's name for it is "partial small subunit ribosomal RNA". The record is from RNAcentral. Lineage: Eukaryota; Viridiplantae; Streptophyta; Magnoliopsida; Poales; Poaceae.